UGGGUUGUGGCUCAGUGGUAGAGCGCUUGUCUUACAUGUGUGAGGCACUGGGUUUGAUUCUCAGCACCACAU
Ictidomys tridecemlineatus (thirteen-lined ground squirrel) is the source of this 72-nucleotide non-coding RNA. NCBI's taxonomy places the organism in Eukaryota, Metazoa, Chordata, Mammalia, Rodentia, Sciuridae. The record is from Rfam.